CCUACGGGAGGCAGCAGUAGGGAAUAUUGCUCAAUGGGGGAAACCCUGAAGCAGCAACGCCGCGUGCAGGAUGAAGGCUUUAGGAUUGUAAACCUCUUUUGUUAGGGAAGUAUAUGACGGUAUCUAACGAAUAAGCCCCGGCUAACUCCGUGCCAGCAGCCGCGGUAAUACGGAGGGUGCAAGCGUUACUCGGAAUCACUGGGCGUAAAGGGUGCGUAGGCGGGGUAAUAAGUCAGAUGUGAAAUCCUGUAGCUUAACUACAGAACUGCAUUUGAAACUGUUAAUCUGGAGUGUGGGAGGGGUAGGUGGAAUUCUUGGUGUAGGGGUAAAA
RNAcentral lists this ribosomal RNA (331 nucleotides) under uncultured bacterium. RNAcentral describes it as "partial 16S ribosomal RNA". It matches the Rfam family "Bacterial small subunit ribosomal RNA", at positions 338 to 686 of the family's 1533-position model. The record is from RNAcentral.